CCUGAGAAACCCAAAAGAUCGAAUGGGGAGAUUCAUCGUCAGCUCAUUUUGUAUAUGUAUGAGUUACGAUGCGGGUUACUACUUGUAGUAUUGCCUGCACGUUCUUAUAUAUUUAGUUGCAAGAUGUUGUCGGCGUGCACUUCUUCCCUAGUAGGACGUCGCGACCCGUUGGGUGUCGGUCUACGGCCCAAGUGAUAGCCUUUAAUGUAAUUUAAAAAUCAUUGAAGAUCCUUGGUGUUUUCUGACCGGCUACUCGGCGGUACUCGUACGGUAUUUAGCCGCUAAUUCAUUAGCGUCCAUGUCCGUCACAAGCGAGGCCAAUUUACUGAUAGUGCGGACCUAGUGCCGUCGUUGGUAUUGGCCAGCUGUUGGUUGUACGUGAUUCUGGGACUGGCUAAAAUUAAUUACCGGUCGGCGAUGCUACUGCUUUGGGUACUUUCAGG
RNAcentral lists this ribosomal RNA (443 nucleotides) under Aleiodes sp. BCLDQ01231. Its description in RNAcentral is "LSU rRNA". The record is from RNAcentral. Lineage: Eukaryota; Metazoa; Arthropoda; Insecta; Hymenoptera; Braconidae.